UACGAAGGGGGCUAGCGUUGCUCGGAAUUACUGGGCGUAAAGGGCGCGUAGGCGGACAGCUUAGUCAGAGGUGAAAGCCCAGGGCUCAACCUUGGAAUUGCCUUUGAUACUGGCUGUCUUGAGUGCGGGAGAGGUGUGUGGAACUCCGAGUGUAGAGGUGAAAUUCGUAGAUAUCGUAAGGAAGGCCAGUGGCGAAAGCGAGACUCUGGCUAGAUGCUGACGCUGAGGCACGAAAGCUGGGGGAGCAAACGGG
This 253-nucleotide ribosomal RNA is filed under the name uncultured bacterium. RNAcentral's name for it is "partial 16S ribosomal RNA". It matches the Rfam family "Bacterial small subunit ribosomal RNA", at positions 524 to 776 of the family's 1533-position model. The record is from RNAcentral.